RNAcentral lists this ribosomal RNA (468 nucleotides) under uncultured bacterium. Its description in RNAcentral is "partial 16S ribosomal RNA". It matches the Rfam family "Bacterial small subunit ribosomal RNA", at positions 28 to 507 of the family's 1533-position model. The record is from RNAcentral.
GACGAACGCUGGCGGCGGGCUUAACACAUGCAAGUCGAACGGAAAGGCCCUGGUUUUGUGGGGUGCUCGAGUGGCGAACGGGUGAGUAACACGUGAGUAACCUGCCCUUGACUUUGGGAUAACUUCAGGAAACUGGGGCUAAUACCGGAUAGGAGCUCCUGCUGCAUGGUGGGGGUUGGAAAGUUUCGGCGGUUGGGGAUGGACUCGCGGCUUAUCAGCUUGUUGGUGGGGUAGUGGCUUACCAAGGCUUUGACGGGUAGCCGGCCUGAGAGGGUGACCGGCCACACUGGGACUGAGAUACGGCCCAGACUACUACGGGACGCAGCGGUGGGGAAUAUUGCACAAUGGGCGGAAGCCUGAUGCAGCAACGCCGCGUGCGGGAUGACGGCCUUCGGGUUGGAAACCGAUGUCGCCUGUGACGAAGCGUGAGUGACGGUAAUGGGUAAAGAAGCCCCGGCUAACUCCGUG